AUUGAACGCUGGCGGCAUGCCUUACACAUGCAAGUCGAACGGUAACGCGGGGCAACCUGGCGACGAGUGGCGAACGGGUGAGUAACGCAUCGGAACGUGCCCAGUAGUGGGGGAUAGCCCGGCGAAAGCCGGAUUAAUACCGCAAACGACCUACGGGUGAAAGAGGGGGAUCGCAAGACCUCUCGCUAUUGGAGCGGCCGAUGUCAGAUUAGGUAGUUGGUGGGGUAAAGGCCUACCAAGCCUACGAUCUGUAGCUGGUCUGAGAGGACGACCAGCCACACUGGGACUGAGACACGGCCCAGACUCCUACGGGAGGCAGUAGUGGGGAAUUUUGGACAAUGGGCGCAAGCCUGAUCCAGCCAUGCCGCGUGCGGGAAGAAGGCCUUCGGGUUGUAAACCGCUUUUGUCAGGGAAGAAACGCUCUGGACUAAUACUCUGGGGUAAUGACGGUACCUGAAGAAUAAGCACCGGCUAACUACGUGCCAGCAGCAGCCGCCG
This 498-nucleotide ribosomal RNA is filed under the name uncultured bacterium. RNAcentral's name for it is "partial 16S ribosomal RNA". It matches the Rfam family "Bacterial small subunit ribosomal RNA", at positions 29 to 523 of the family's 1533-position model. The record is from RNAcentral.